UACGAAGGGGGCUAGCGUUGUUCGGAAUCACUGGGCGUAAAGGGCGCGUAGGCGGCUUUAUAAGUCGGGGGUGAAAGCCUGUGGCUCAACCACAGAAUUGCCUUCGAUACUGUAGAGCUCGAGACCGGAAGAGGUAAGUGGAACUGCGAGUGUAGAGGUGAAAUUCGUAGAUAUUCGCAAGAACACCAGUGGCGAAGGCGGCUUACUGGUCCGGUUCUGACGCUGAGGCGCGAAAGCGUGGGGAGCAAACAGG
Molecule: ribosomal RNA, 253 nt
Filed under: uncultured bacterium
Lineage: Bacteria
Description: partial 16S ribosomal RNA
Rfam family: Bacterial small subunit ribosomal RNA
Source: RNAcentral